UGCAGUCGAGCGGACAGAUGGGAGCUUGCUCCCUGAUGUUAGCGGCGGACGGGUGAGUAACACGUGGGUAACCUGCCUGUAAGACUGGGAUAACUCCGGAAAACCGGGGCUAAUACCGGAUGCUUGUUUGAACCGCAUGGUUCAAACAUAAAAGGUGGCUUCGGCUACCACUUACAGAUGGACCCGCGGCGCAUUAGCUAGUUGGUGAGGUAAUGGCUCACCAAGGCAACGAUGCGUAGCCGACCUGAGAGGGUGAUCGGCCACACUGGGACUGAGACACGGCCCAGACUCCUACGGGAGGCAGCAGUAGGGAAUCUUCCGCAAUGGACGAAAGUCUGACGGAGCAACGCCGCGUGAGUGAUGAAGGUUUUCGGAUCGUAAAGCUCUGUUGUUAGGGAAGAACAAGUACCGUUCGAAUAGGGCGGUACCUUGACGGUACCUAACCAGAAAGCCACGGCUAACUACGUGCCAGCAGCCGCGGUAAUACGUAGGUGGCAAGCGUUGUCCGGAAUUAUUGGGCGUAAAGGGCUCGCAGGCGGUUUCUUAAGUCUGAUGUGAAAGCACCCCGGCUCAACCGGGGAGGGUCAUUGGAAACUGGGGAACUUGAGUGCAGAAGAGGAGAGUGGAAUUCCACGUGUAGCGGUGAAAUGCGUAGAGAUGUGGAGGAACACCAGUGGCGAAGGCGACUCUCUGGUCUGUAACUGACGCUGAGGAGCGAAAGCGUGGGGAGCGAACAGGAUUAGAUACCCUGGUAGUCCACGCCGUAAACGAUGAGUGCUAAGUGUUAGGGGGUUUCCGCCCCUUAGUGCUGCAGCUAACGCAUUAAGCAC
Molecule: ribosomal RNA, 830 nt
Filed under: Bacillus sp. PG_12
Lineage: Bacteria; Bacillati; Bacillota; Bacilli; Caryophanales; Bacillaceae
Description: bacterial SSU rRNA
Rfam family: Bacterial small subunit ribosomal RNA
Source: RNAcentral